This is a non-coding RNA of Pelobates cultripes (western spadefoot toad), 227 nucleotides long. Lineage: Eukaryota; Metazoa; Chordata; Amphibia; Anura; Pelobatidae. The record is from the annotation of a GenBank genome assembly.
AAACGUUUUGUUGAACUAUUUCAAGGGUGACACCAAGCACACCAUGUAUAGCAAUGCCCUUAUCUACCAGGGAGCUUCUCUUACAUAAGUGUUUCAUAGUGCGGGCUUCCAAAAUGAGUUCUUAAAGGGACACUAUAGUCGCCCAGACCACUUCAGCUCAAUGAAGUGGUCUAGGUGCCAGGUCCCUCAGGUUUUACCCUUCAGAUGCAAAUAUAGCUGUUUCAGAG